UACGUAGGGUGCGAGCGUUGUCCGGAAUUAUUGGGCGUAAAGGGCUCGUAGGCGGUUUGUCGCGUCGGGAGUGAAAACCAUGGGCUUAACUCAUGGCUUGCUUCCGAUACGGGCAGACUAGAGGUAUGCAGGGGAGAACGGAAUUCCUGGUGUAGCGGUGAAAUGCGCAGAUAUCAGGAAGAACACCGGUGGCGAAGGCGGUUCUCUGGGCAUUACCUGACGCUGAGGAGCGAAAGUGUGGGGAGCGAACAGG
RNAcentral lists this ribosomal RNA (253 nucleotides) under uncultured bacterium. RNAcentral's name for it is "partial 16S ribosomal RNA". It matches the Rfam family "Bacterial small subunit ribosomal RNA", at positions 524 to 776 of the family's 1533-position model. The record is from RNAcentral.